AACAAUUAAUACAAAUCUCUUACAAAUAUAUAUAUGAGUUCCAAAUUACAUACAUAUAACUAAAGUCUGAAGUAGCUAUAAAAUAUAAAAGACAAAACACAAAAGAAAGCCAUUUCUUUCACUAGGCUGUUGGACUCAUCAGAGUGCGGAAACAAUUAUGUACUCAAAUUUUAUGGAUCCAUUGGAUCCUCAUAGACUUCCAAGGGUAGGUCCACCUACGGUUCCUCAUUUUCUUCUUCAUCUGGGCGAGGAGUAUAGAAAGAGUGAGUUCCACAUGUUAAGUAAGGAAAAUAAUAUUAAAUUAACAUCAUAAAUUUUUAAAGGUGAAUUAUUUUAACUUAAAAGCUUACCAUUUGGCCAUCUCAUAGACCUAUCUUAUAUUAUGAAAAUAAUUUAUUUAUUAAGAAAACUGUACAUUAAUAUGGACAAUCAAACAUACAUCAUGCCAGAUAAUAGAGAAAAUCAAAUAAAUCAUGAAAUGCUCAUAUUUUUGUGUCAUACUUUGUGAAGUCGUUACAGCUUCCAUCUUUGAAGGCAGAUACAGAUU
Molecule: long non-coding RNA, 547 nt
Filed under: Carica papaya (papaya)
Lineage: Eukaryota; Viridiplantae; Streptophyta; Magnoliopsida; Brassicales; Caricaceae
Description: long non-coding RNA (CPAP_LNC001066)
Source: RNAcentral